RNAcentral lists this long non-coding RNA (281 nucleotides) under Panax ginseng (ginseng). RNAcentral's name for it is "long non-coding RNA (PGIN_LNC018568)". Lineage: Eukaryota; Viridiplantae; Streptophyta; Magnoliopsida; Apiales; Araliaceae. The record is from RNAcentral.
UCAAGAAAUUUGCAAAACAAUAAUAAUUGCAAGGUAGUUAUACAAGUGGAUAAAAAAUAAAUAAGUAAAUAAAAGAAUUACAAGUAAUUGUCAAAUUUCAUCUAAAAACAAGAAAAUUAUUGAAUUUCACAAACUUUAUCAGGUGGGGACUUGGAUAAUUCAUCCAUGUAAGCUUUACGUUCCUCAGGAGAUGAGGGCAACAAUUUUGGGACAUUUAGUACGAUAUCCACACAGAGGUUUCCAAGAGUGGCCACAUCAAAUUCUUUGUUAACAACACUUUU